GGCUCCUGGUGUAGUGGUUUGGAUGUUGGAUUAAAACCCUGGAGACCAAGGUUCAAUUCCCUGCUCAGCCA
Non-coding RNA from Phrynosoma platyrhinos (Desert horned lizard), 71 nucleotides. The record is from the annotation of a GenBank genome assembly. Lineage: Eukaryota; Metazoa; Chordata; Lepidosauria; Squamata; Phrynosomatidae.